AUGCAAGUCGAACGGAUUAUGAGGGCUUGCUCUCAUAGUUAGUGGCGAACGGGUGAGUAACGCGUGGGAAUCUGCCCUGGAGUGGGGAACAACCGUUGGAAACGACUGCUAAUACCGCAUACGCCCUGAGGGGGAAAGGCUUCGGCCGCUCUUGGAUGAUCCCGCGUCUGAUUAGCUUGUUGGUGGGGUAACGGCCUACCAAGGCGACGAUCAGUAGCUGGUCUGAGAGGAUGAUCCGGCCACACUGGGACUGAGACACGGCCCAGACUCC
This 271-nucleotide ribosomal RNA is filed under the name unidentified marine bacterioplankton. RNAcentral describes it as "partial 16S ribosomal RNA". It matches the Rfam family "Bacterial small subunit ribosomal RNA", at positions 55 to 339 of the family's 1533-position model. The record is from RNAcentral.